Oncorhynchus tshawytscha (Chinook salmon) is the source of this 3693-nucleotide long non-coding RNA. The record is from Ensembl. Lineage: Eukaryota; Metazoa; Chordata; Actinopteri; Salmoniformes; Salmonidae.
GUAUUUGCUUUACAUGCGUGGUCCAUUGUAGGACUAUAUAUGUCAGUUUCUUUAGAGAGUUUAAAAUAUUUUCCUUUUCAAUCAUGUACAUAAUUAUGAAGACAUCGUAUGUAAACAUCCAUCCGUAAAGAUCAACCCGUACAGACCUGUUUGAAUUAAUGCGUUGCGCCAUUCGGAGCUGUGCUUAGCCUACUCUUUAUUUUAACCGGUUUCUAUUUCUACUGUUUGCAAAAGGGCCCAAAGUGUCAUUUUUAUUUAUACCAUGCAUCAAUUAUAUUAUGUGCACACAUCCAGACACUCCGCUCAUUUGUGUGAUUACUAUUUAGGGGACGGGAGAGAUUCCCUGAACAUGUAUUUGAACGGUGGUGGACAGGUUGCGGUUAUCGGGACAGGAGCUUAUUACGCCCUGUCUUAAAUAGCUGGAUAACAAAGGUAGGCUCUAAUGAUGAGAGUAUAAACUAUUGCCUAUAAAAAUGUGCUGUUUUCUGUCGAUUUAUACAGCGUGUCUCUUUAAUAACUCUACCUACAUGGACAUAUUACCUCAUUUACCCCAACACCGGUACCACUUGUAUAUUUCACCGCUAUUGUUAUUUUACUGCUGCUCUUUCAUUAUUUAAUAUUUGUAUCUCUUACUUUAAAAAAAAUGUAUUUUCUUAAAACUGCAUUGUUGGUUAAGGUAAGUAAGCAUUUCACUGUAAGGUGUACCUGUUGUAUUUGGCGCAUGUGACAAAUAAAAUAUGAUUUCAUUUGAUAAGGGUAGGUUCAAGGCAGGUUGGAUUCAUUUAUAUAAAUGGAGGGCACAGGGAAUCUGGUCACAAUAUAGAUGCAGUGGCCAGCUAGAGACACAUUUUAUUACCAUGUGUAGAUGCGACAAGUCUCGAUCAUAUAUCGAAUCAUCUUGAUCACAUGACGACAAGCACAUGUUAAUGCAACGUGUAAUCACGGCUUAUGAGGAGAAUAAAAGGAAGUACGCAUAUGCAAUACCAUAUUAAAACAUGUAUUUAGAACUACGGUUUGUUUAGUGGUAAUAAUAAUAUGUGGAUGUAUGUGUUGUAUACCUUGUAUUAAUUUAAUCAGAUUUGUUUUAUUUUCAUAAACUCUAGGUUUUACUACAGCUUUUGUUGUUGUGCCUAUGUUGGUUAAAUUAGUAUGUACUGUUUACAUUAAAAAUGUUGUGACAGUUUCUGUCACGUGAAGGGUGUGUGAUCGUUUGGGCCAAUCAAGAUGGACCGUGGGUGGUGCGCAGAGGGCUAUCCGGUUUUCUGUUGUUGCUGAGGCCUCGUAGUGAUGGGAAUUCCGGCUCUUUUCAGUGAGCCGGCUCGUUCGGCUCAGCUCACCAAAAAGAACCGGCUCUUUUGGCUUCCAAACGGCUCUUCAAAAAAAAAAUGUUUUGUAUUUUUUCAAGUAAAACAGUUGGAUAGUUUGACUAUGUAUGAUUGGUGUUAAAACAAUUCUAAAUUAAAUUAUAAAAUUAAAUCAUACUCUACCUUAACCACAAUGUAUUUAAAAAUGCAUUGGGCUGUUAUGAAAAAGAAUGCUAUUAAACAUUUGCAUUUAAAGUAUAAUUUUUAAUGUACAUAAGCAUUUAAAUCUAACCAUUCAAAACGAAUACAAUCUGAACAGCAUAAUAGAAUAUUGCACCAUAUCAAAGAAAAAUAAAUAACAAUUUGCUUAACUGCAGCAUCCCACUAAUUGAAAUAAAUGUAAAAAAGGAUGCCCUUACAUAAGGAUGCCCUUAUAUAAGCAAAGUGCAUAUAAAUGUAACAAUUCUAAACAAAUACAAUCUGAACAACAUAAUAAUAGUAUAUUGCUCCAUAUCAAAGAAAAACAAAUAACAAUGUGCAAACUGCAGCAUCCCAGUUAAAACAUUAAACUGGUCCCUCUUUUCUCUCUCUUCUUUAUUGCCAUGUUAUAACCAGCAGCACACAGCAAUGCUGACCAUAUUUUGCUUUUAUGAGAGAUUUGCAUUCAGAAAUGCCACUCUAUUAAUGCACAAGUAGUCUACUCUAUUAAUGCACAAGUAGUCUGCAAUGUCAUUACUAGCCUCUACAAAUGUUGUUGCCAAAUGGCCUGGGAGCAUACAUGACUCCUUCAUUGUAUCAAAUUAGGCCCUGGGAAUCAAGUUUGAGGAAGGUCACAUUCCUGAUAAUAGCUAUUAGGUAAAGAAAUCCAAUUUAUUUAUAUAGCCCUUCUUACAUCAGCUGAUAUAUCAAAAUGCUGUACAGAAACCCAGCCUAAAACCCCAAACAGCACGGUGGCUAGGAACAUCUCCCUAGAAAGGCCAAAACCUAGGAAGAAACCUAGAGCGGAACCAGGCUAUGAGUGGUGGCCAGUUCUCUUCUGGCUGUACCGGGUGGAGAUUAUAACAGAACAUGGCCAAGAUGUUCAAAUGUUCAUAAAUGACCCGCAUGGUCCAAUAAUAGUAAUCACAGUAAUCACAGGUCAGGGUUCCAUAGCCGCAGGCAGAACAGUUGAAACUGGAGUAGCAGCACGGCUAGGUGGACUGGGGACAACAAAGAGUCAUCAUGCCAGGUAGUCCUGAGGCAUGGUCCUAGGGCUCAGGUCCUCCAAGAGAGAAAGAAAGAAAGAGAGAAUUAAAGAGAGCAUACUUAAAUUCACACAGGACAAGACAGGAGAAAUACUCCAGAUAUAACAGACCCUAGCCCCCCGACACAUAAACUACUGCAGCAGUACUGGAGGCUGAGACAUCCUUUAUGAAAUGCUUUAUUCUCUUUACCUGAUACCUGUUUAAUUGUUUUGUGGUCCACAGAAACACUUAAAAUAGUGUUGCUUAUUAUGAUAUCAAUUUACUACUUUGGUAUGUUUGGGGUUUAAGGUGAUAGUGGCUAUGGACAAAAAAAACAUGGCUCAUGACACCAAUCCUAAACACUAACAACGAUGCAGAAGAGAACUUACAACCAUGCUCAGAUGAAAAGAGGAGUUUAGUAGAGGGAUCUAUCGGAGUCCUUAAAUCUACAUUGACCACGGAAUGUCAGGGCUAAUCUCUCACCUUCCACCUUCAGUAGCACCUCCUGCACCCUGCGCAGGGACAUGACCUCCCCCAGGAGCGUCCUCUGGACAGUCACCAUCUCCUCCACACCAGCAAGCUUCCUUGCCCGGGGUGGCACUGGCUCUUACAUUGGGGUGUCAUGAUGAAUAAGGAUCUGAAACAUGCGCAUCUCCUCCGUGUCUUCGGUUGAGAAACCUGUUGAGAAAAUACAAUGAAUCUGUUGUGGCAAUGAUAUGUGUUGUAGGCCUAUUGCAGAAUAAUAAUAAACAUAUUUAAAUGAGAAAUAAAACAAACACCUACCUCUGCUUGUUCUUCUGUCAUAUGAUCAUAACGAUCCAUGGCUCCCACAUCCAGGUUCGGGAAUAUGGAUGAGGUCCAGUGUUAUUUCUGGAAAGUUUAAUUUAAAGACCCUUGUGCCCUUCGGUCUCAACGUAGACUUUGAUCUGAAGCCAUUUUUGUGAUUAUUGUGACUUUGCCAUUGUAAUUGUUUGUAAGCUUGUGUAGUCAAAUUAAUCUAUGAUUGUAUGUUGUCCAUUUGUUUGUAUGCUGUUCUUUGUAUGACAUUUUAAUAUUUGAUUAUUAACCAAUGAUAUUAGGCCACUCUUGGCCAUGAUUACAGACACCUGUGUCUUUUGACACUAUAUAAACAAGUCAUCCCGCAGUGUUUGUGAUUAUACCCUGAU